AGAGUUUGAUCCUGGCUCAGGAUGAACGCUAGCGGGAGGCUUAACACAUGCAAGUCGAGGGGCAUCACGGGGUAGCAAUACUCUGGUGGCGACCGGCGCACGGGUGAGUAACACGUAUGCAACCUGCCUCGUACAGGGGGAUAACCCGGAGAAAUUCGGACUAAUAUCCCAUAAUGAUAUUGAAAGGCAUCUUUUAAUAUUUAAAGCUCAGGCGGUACGGGAUGGGCAUGCGGAACAUUAGCUGGUUGGCAGGGUAACGGCCUACCAAGGCUACGAUGUUUAGGGGACCUGAGAGGGUUAUCCCCCACACUGGUACUGAGACACGGACCAGACUCCUACGGGAGGCAGCAGUGAGGAAUAUUGGUCAAUGGGCGCAAGCCUGAACCAGCCAUCCCGCGUGAAGGAAGAAGGCGCUAUGCGUUGUAAACUUCUUUUCCAGGGGGAGAAUUAUCCCGAUGUAUCGGGAUUUGACGGUACUCUGGGAAUAAGCAUCGGCUAACUCCGUGCCAGCAGCCGCGGUAAUACGGGGGAUGCGAGCGUUAUCCGGAUUUAUUGGGUUUAAAGGGUGCGUAGGCGGAUCAAUAAGUCAGUGGUGAAAUUCUGCAGCUUAACUGUAGACUUGCCAUUGAUACUGUUGGUCUUGAGUAUGGUCAAGGCAGGCGGAAUGUGUAAUGUAGCGGUGAAAUGCUUAGAUAUUACACAGAACACCGAUUGCGAAGGCAGCUUGCUGGGCCAAUACUGACGCUGAUGCACGAAAGCGUGGGGAUCGAACAGGAUUAGAUACCCUGGUAG
RNAcentral lists this ribosomal RNA (792 nucleotides) under uncultured bacterium. RNAcentral describes it as "bacterial SSU rRNA". It matches the Rfam family "Bacterial small subunit ribosomal RNA", at positions 8 to 793 of the family's 1533-position model. The record is from RNAcentral.